GGCUUAACCUCGUAAAGGCAGUGGAAACUGGAAGACUAGAGUGUAGUAGGGGCAGAGGGAAUUCCUGGUGUAGCGGUGAAAUGCGUAGAGAUCGGGAAGAACACCGGUGGCGAAGGCGCUCUGCUGGGCUAUAACUGACACUGAGGGACGAAAGCUAGGGGAGCGAAUGGGAUUAGAUACCCCAGUAGUCCUAGCGGUAAACGAUGGAAACUAGGUGUGGCCUGUAUCGACCCGGGCCGUGCCGAAGCAAACGCGUUAAGUUUCCCGCCUGGGGAGUACGCACGCAAGUGUGAAACUCAAAGGAAUUGACGGGGGCCCGCACAAGCGGUGGAGUAUGUGGUUUAAUUCGAUGCAACGCGAAGAACCUUACCAGGACUUGACAUCUCUGGAAUCUCCUUGAAAGGGGAGAGUGCCGUAAGGAACCAGAAGACAGGUGCUGCAUGGCUGUCGUCAGCUCGUGUCGUGAGAUGUUGGGUUAAGUCCCGCAACGAGCGCAACCCUCGUCGUUAGUUGCCAUCAUUAAGUUGGGAACUCUAGCGAGACUGCCG
RNAcentral lists this ribosomal RNA (548 nucleotides) under uncultured cyanobacterium. Its description in RNAcentral is "bacterial SSU rRNA". It matches the Rfam family "Bacterial small subunit ribosomal RNA", at positions 606 to 1154 of the family's 1533-position model. Lineage: Bacteria; Bacillati; Cyanobacteriota. The record is from RNAcentral.